This 503-nucleotide ribosomal RNA is filed under the name uncultured bacterium. Its description in RNAcentral is "partial 16S ribosomal RNA". It matches the Rfam family "Bacterial small subunit ribosomal RNA", at positions 30 to 523 of the family's 1533-position model. The record is from RNAcentral.
AUUGAACGCUGGCGGCAGGCCUAACACAUGAAAGUCGAACGGUAGCACAGAGAGCUUGCUCUCGGGUGACGAGUGGCGGACGGGUGAGUAAUGUCUGGGAAACUGCCUGAUGGAGGGGGGUAACUACUGGAAACGGUAGCUAAUACCGCAUAACGUCGCAAGACCAAAGAGGGGGACCUUCGGGCCUCUUGCCAUCAGAUGUGCCCAGAUGGGAUUAGCUAGUAGGUGGGGUAACGGCUCACCUAGGCGACGAUCCCUAGCUGGUCUGAGAGGAUGACCAGCCACACUGGAACUGAGACACGGUCCAGACUCCUACGGGAGGCAGCAGUGGGGAAUAUUGCACAAUGGGCGCAAGCCUGAUGCAGCCAUGCCGCGUGUAUGAAGAAGGCCUCGGGUUGUAAAGUACUUUCAGCGGGGAGGAAGGUGAUAAGGUUAAUAACCUUGUCGAUUGACGUUACCCGCAGAAGAAGCACCGGCUAACUCCGUGCCAGCCGCCGCGGUAA